UGAGGAAUAUUGGGUCAACGGGGCGUGAGCCUGAACCAGCCAAGUCGCGUGAGGGAUGAAGGCCCUACGGGUUGUAAACCUCUUUUAUAAGGGAAUAAAGGGCGCCACGUGUGACGCAUUGCAUGUACCUUAUGAAUAAGCAUCGGCUAACUCCGUGCCAGCAGCCGCGGUAAUACGGAGGAUGCGAGCGUUAUCCGGAUUCAUUGGGUUUAAAGGGUGCGUAGGUGGCUUGUUAAGUCAGCGGUGAAAGUCAGUGGCUCAACCAUUGAAUUGCCGUUGAAACUGGCGAGCUUGAGUACGUACGGGGCAGGCGGAAUGCGUGGGGAGCAAACAGGAUUAGAUACCCUGGUAGU
This 353-nucleotide ribosomal RNA is filed under the name uncultured Parabacteroides sp. RNAcentral's name for it is "bacterial SSU rRNA". It matches the Rfam family "Bacterial small subunit ribosomal RNA", at positions 355 to 794 of the family's 1533-position model. The record is from RNAcentral. Lineage: Bacteria; Pseudomonadati; Bacteroidota; Bacteroidia; Bacteroidales; Tannerellaceae.